Molecule: ribosomal RNA, 565 nt
Filed under: uncultured bacterium
Lineage: Bacteria
Description: partial 16S ribosomal RNA
Rfam family: Bacterial small subunit ribosomal RNA
Source: RNAcentral
UGGGGAAUUUUGGACAAUGGGCGAAAGCCUGAUCCAGCAAUGCCGCGUGUGUGAAGAAGGCCUUCGGGUUGUAAAGCACUUUUGUCCGGAAAGAAAUCCUUGGCUCUAAUACAGUCGGGGGAUGACGGUACCGGAAGAAUAAGCACCGGCUAACUACGUGCCAGCAGCCGCGGUAAUACGUAGGGUGCAAGCGUUAAUCGGAAUUACUGGGCGUAAAGCGUGCGCAGGCGGUUUGCUAAGACCGAUGUGAAAUCCCCGGGCUCAACCUGGGAACUGCAUUGGUGACUGGCAGGCUAGAGUAUGGCAGAGGGGGGUAGAAUUCCACGUGUAGCAGUGAAAUGCGUAGAGAUGUGGAGGAAUACCGAUGGCGAAGGCAGCCCCCCUGGGCCAAUACUGACGCUCAUGCACGAAAGCGUGGGGAGCAAACAGGAUUAGAUACCCUGGUAGUCCACGCCCUAAACGAUGUCAACUAGUUGUUGGGGAUUCAUUUCCUUAGUAACGUAGCUAACGCGUGAAGUUGACCGCCUGGGGAGUACGGUCGCAAGAUUAAAACUCAAAUGAAUUG